CACGACUUCUAUAGGUGUCACACCUGUAAUACAACAGAUAGGAAUGCCAUCUGUGUUAACUGCAUCAAAAAGUGUCACCAAGGACACGAUGUAGAGUUUAUACGACACGAUCGGUUUUUCUGUGACUGCGGCGCGGGAACGUUGUCCAACCCGUGUACGCUGGCCGGAGAGCCCACACAUGACACGGACACUCUGUACGACUCGGCGCCGCCCAUCGAGUCCAACACGCUACAACAUAACUGAAGGCGGCGGCUCGUGUUAACGCCCUCAGAUAAGCAAACAAACACAUUGCAUUACACACACACACACACACACACACACAC
This is a long non-coding RNA of Xiphophorus maculatus (southern platyfish), 323 nucleotides long. RefSeq lists it as uncharacterized. The record is from RefSeq and is a predicted model, not a curated record. The transcript is spliced from 3 exons. Lineage: Eukaryota; Metazoa; Chordata; Actinopteri; Cyprinodontiformes; Poeciliidae.